Molecule: long non-coding RNA, 1112 nt
Filed under: Physcomitrium patens
Lineage: Eukaryota; Viridiplantae; Streptophyta; Bryopsida; Funariales; Funariaceae
Description: long non-coding RNA (PPAT_LNC008164)
Source: RNAcentral
UUUUUUAACAAGGUUGUGGAUUGUGGUAGCAAAGCAGCAAUAGGAUGUUGGCGGCAAGUAGCGACAGUUGUAGAGUGACAACGGUAGGGCGGCAGUAUGGUAGCAAUGACAGGGCGACAAAAAGCAAUGGUAGUGGUAGGACGGUAGGGUGGUAGCGAUGAUAGGGCGACAAAAAGCAGUGGUAGCGGUACGACGGUAGGGUGGUAGCGAUGACAGGGCGACAAAAAGCAGUGGUAGCGGUACGACGAUAGGGUGGUAGCGAUGACAGGGCGACAAGCAGCUGCAGAAGUAACAGCAGCAGUGACGGGAUUGGUGAUUGUUUGGCAACAGUCGAUGGUGAGUGACAGUAAUUGUUUGGUGGUAGUCAGCGGUCAAUAAUGAUGACUAUUUGGCAAUAAUUGGUGGUCAAUUUUGUAGCAAUUUGGCGACUGUUUGGCAACAGACGCAUGGCAUAGUAGAGAAGCUAGGCUGGAGCAAGUAUUCUAAGUAAGCAAGGCAAAGAGUGGAGUAAGUGCUCUAAGUAAGCAGCUAAUGUGUGAGGGGCCAGCAAGAAGUGCAGUAAGAUUAUGAGUCAGAUAGGGAGCAAGAGUAGCAAUAGGUUUGAAGAGUCAAGACUAGAGCAAAAAAAAUUGUGAUAGUGUAAAGAAGAGAGUCGUACUAAUAACGUGUUGAGAAUAUUUAGAAAGACAUAAGAGUAGUAGUAAGUAAUACAUACACACACAAGAAUAAUAGUAAGUAAUACACACAAGAGGAUUUCUAAGGAGAGAGAGCUUCACACAUAAAAAUCUAUUGAUCUAGUUGUGUCUUGUAUACAAGAGGAGAAGGAGAGAGGAUAAACAAUUUUUCUCCAGUACAUUCCAAAUAUUGUAGCUGUAGUAUUUACUGUAGACUACAAUAAAUAUUAUGGAGAGUGUCGGCUACAUUUAAUGCUAUCAACAUAAGGCAUGCCUUUUCUCUCUUGUUAUUAUUAUUAGAUCUUUAGUAUUACAUUGCAAACAUCCACAUCACACAAAUAGGUGAUAUUAAAUGAAAUUCUAAAAAUAGAUAUUUUAACAUCAUGGAUAUGAAAGGCAUUAAAAUAAAAGAUAAAAAUAUAUAAAAAGUCUUAUUUU